This 625-nucleotide ribosomal RNA is filed under the name uncultured Clostridium sp. Its description in RNAcentral is "bacterial SSU rRNA". It matches the Rfam family "Bacterial small subunit ribosomal RNA", at positions 93 to 738 of the family's 1533-position model. The record is from RNAcentral. Lineage: Bacteria; Bacillati; Bacillota; Clostridia; Eubacteriales; Clostridiaceae.
AAGUGGCGAACGGGUGAGUAACACGUGAGCAACCUACCUUACACAGGGGGAUAGCCGUUGGAAACGACGAUUAAUACCGCAUGAGACCACAGAAUCGCAUGAUAUAGGGGUCAAAGAUUUAUCGGUGUAAGAAGGGCUCGCGUCUGAUUAGCUAGUUGGAAGGGUAAAGGCCUACCAAGGCGACGAUCAGUAGCCGGUCUGAGAGGAUGAACGGCCACAUUGGAACUGAGACACGGUCCAAACUCCUACGGGAGGCAGCAGUGGGGAAUAUUGCACAAUGGGGGGAACCCUGAUGCAGCGACGCCGCGUGAGCGAAGAAGGUUUUCGAAUCGUAAAGCUCUGUCCUAUGAGAAGAUAAUGACGGUAUCAUAGGAGGAAGCCCCGGCUAAAUACGUGCCAGCAGCCGCGGUAAUACGUAUGGGGCGAGCGUUGUCCGGAAUUAUUGGGCGUAAAGGGUACGUAGGCGGUUUUUUAAGUCAGGUGUGAAAGCGUGAGGCUUAACCUCAUUAAGCACUUGAAACUGGAAGACUUGAGUGAAGGAGAGGAAAGUGGAAUUCCUAGUGUAGCGGUGAAAUGCGUAGAUAUUAGGAGGAUACCGGUGGCGAAGGCGACUUUCUGGACUUUU